GGAGAGGUGUCCGAGUGGUCGAUGGUGCAACCUUGGAAAGGUUGUGUGGGCUUUCAGUCCACCGGGGGUUCGAAUCCCCCCCUCUCCGCCA
Molecule: transfer RNA, 91 nt
Filed under: Kiritimatiellia bacterium
Lineage: Bacteria; Pseudomonadati; Kiritimatiellota; Kiritimatiellia
Description: Kiritimatiellae bacterium (gut metagenome) tRNA-Ser
Rfam family: tRNA
About the family: Transfer RNA (tRNA) molecules are approximately 80 nucleotides in length. Their secondary structure includes four short double-helical elements and three loops (D, anti-codon, and T loops).
Source: RNAcentral